Molecule: long non-coding RNA, 2388 nt
Organism: Vicia villosa (hairy vetch)
Lineage: Eukaryota; Viridiplantae; Streptophyta; Magnoliopsida; Fabales; Fabaceae
Exons: 3
Source: RefSeq, a predicted model, not a curated record
CCUCUUAUAUUUUCCUCAUACACCCACGUGAACGAUGAGACAAACCUUCCAUUCUCUAAAACCCUACCGCCGCCGUCACCCAUCCUUUCACCACUUUCCGACCACCACAACUCUUAACUGCAAGCGAGCAACGUUUUUGUACUCCUCACCACCUCUUCUCCUUUCCUUUUCUGCUCUGUGACUCCAUUUUCUUUUCAAUCAGUGUUGAAAUGGAGCUGUUUGAAACGGAACCACCGUGCCGGUUUUCCUCAGGCCACCGUGAGCUUCAUCUCCUCCAAGGAUUCGAAUAGUGCAUGAUGAAAUCUCCCCAGGUGUUGGAUUUGGUAAUGAAUCACUUAACUAGACCAAUUCCUACAGAGAUUGGAAAUCGCUCGAGCAUCGUUCACGUUUGGAGUUGACUUUGUGGAAUAAAUGUGAAAUGUGCCUUGAACUAAAUGUAUGCAUUGAAUUUUCUAUUACUUAAUACCUUUACUUCUGAGUUCUGACAUGGUUUUCUAUUGCUUACUGGUUUUUUAUGACCUGAACAGCGCAAAAUCUAUCUCUCUUUUUGUUCAUCCCCUGUUUAGAAUUUGUUUGAAUAGUAAUUAGUUUACAACUUCCUUCAUAGUAAACAUUUAAAGUUUCUCAUAAAUCGUUCUGAACUGUGAAUGGUAAAACAUAUGAUGUAAUGUAAUGUUUACUAUUGACCAAGGAAUGUAUAGAACUUUCAUCUUUAGCUAUUAUAACUGUACAAGGUCUUCAUUUGUCAAUUAGCGAUGUUAAUUUUGGUUUUUGCAUUGCAGGAAGGAGUAUCGAAGUACUCAACUGAAAAACAGAAUAUCCAUCGUGUGUGUAAUAAAACUCGUAGUUUGACUAUGCAGUAAGAACAUGGUACAUUAAUUAAAAAAUGAAAACUCUUUAUGCUGCACUAAGUCUCACAUUAUAUAUCUACCACAUCAUGCCAAAAACCUUGAAACCAUGAAUAUAACUAAAAAAAGAGUUGGCUUAUGUUUCAUUUUUCCCAACUUGGUUUUUGCAUUUGCUUGUGGGAGUGUUAGCAAGGAGUGGAACUGUAGUUUUAUUCACGACAAUUAAUUCAGAUAAUAAUUGUGUGCAUUAUUAGUAUUGUUAUUACAAAGCUACGGAAUAUGGUUCUCACAUACUAAGAGGUUAAUUUUGGUAAUAGGAUUUGACAUCAGAAUCUGGAACUUGUGAUCCCCUAUGUUCAGUUGAUGAAACUAGUUCGCUAGAUUUCGAAGACAACUAUCAGCCCAAGACUGAUUUGCUCAAAGCAGCUGCGAUAUUUGCGGCGGCUGCAACUGGGACGACAGUUACUUUUUUAACGUAUCUGUUGAAAAGCUAUGCUGAUUAUAUAAGGCCACAUGAAGAAAGUAUAUGUAAAAGCAUUGUGAAUUUGCUUGUAACAUGUACUGACUCUGUCCUUAUCACAAGUAUGUCUUCUCUUCAUCUCAUUUUAGAUUUAUCUGCUGCUUUUAGUGAUUUCUUGCAGAAGUACUAGGUGUUGGAUUUUAUUUCAAUAUUCACUGCUUUUUAGUAAUUUAUAUUUUUAGAGAGAAUAAGAAUCCAAUUUUUUGAGCCUACAUGGAUUUCGAAGUUGAGGAAUUCUAUGUUUCUGUCCAUUUUUAAUGCUUGUGAGAUGGAUAUGAUGCUUGUUACCCAUAUUGGCAUUAUUUUGAGCAUGCAUAUUCAAUUUGUUUUAUGCUGCAAAGUUUCCAUGGAUCUUUGAUUGAUCCAUCAUUGUUUAUUUCAUUCUCCUCAACCACAAGUGCAGCUUUGUUUAAACACCUCUAAGCUAUAACAAACAAAAAAAAGUUUUUUAUGUUGAUAGAUUUACUUGUAUUCAGUUUGGUGCAAUCAAUAAAAAUCAAUGUUUAAAUCCAUCAUUAAUUAGUUUGACUUUUGAUACUAUGCCACAUAUAUGAAUGAUGUAAUUGUAGUUGCUUGGAAGAGCCUUAUGUUUAUGCUAUGAUUUAUUAUAUAGUGGAAACCCAUAAUUUAUGCUGUAAAAAUAAUCUGCAUCCAGUUAAGCUUUUUUAACGCAGGCAAUAUAUAAUAAGAGGCUUAUGUUUCUUAGAUUUUGUAAUUUUGGGACUAUAUUAAGUCUUUAGCUUGAUUUAAUCUAGACUUCCUUAUGUUUCUUACAAAUGAUUUCAUCUGGACAGUUAGUCAAGGACUACAUUGACUCUGCAGUGAGACAUGUGCUCCUUAGACAUGUUUGCUUAUGAUCUAUAUACCUGAUUAUUUUUCUUGCCCUGGUAGCAUUUGAAGUUAAAGAUAUAGAGAAAAAGAUAAAUAGCAAGGAGAAUAAGUUGGUAAUGUUGUAGCGGAUUUGGUAACAUUUGUAUGUCAUUUAUUAUUUCACUGGGAAUAAAUGCAUAAUAAAGAUGU